This 298-nucleotide ribosomal RNA is filed under the name uncultured Bacteroides sp. RNAcentral's name for it is "partial 16S ribosomal RNA". It matches the Rfam family "Bacterial small subunit ribosomal RNA", at positions 48 to 339 of the family's 1533-position model. Lineage: Bacteria; Pseudomonadati; Bacteroidota; Bacteroidia; Bacteroidales; Bacteroidaceae. The record is from RNAcentral.
UUAACACAUGCAAGUCGAGGGGCAGCAUGAACUUAGCUUGCUAAGUUUGAUGGCGACCGGCGCACGGGUGAGUAACACGUAUCCAACCUUCCGUUUACUCAGGGAUAGCCUUUCGAAAGAAAGAUUAAUAUCCGAUGGUAUAUUAAAACCGCAUGGUUUUACUAUUAAAGAAUUUCGGUUAUCGAUGGGGAUGCGUUCCAUUAGGCAGUUGGCGGGGUAACGGCCCACCAAACCAACGAUGGAUAGGGGUUCUGAGAGGAAGGUCCCCACAUUGGAACUGAGACACGGUCCAAACUCC